AAUUAUAACCAGAAGCAGCACCGUCGUUUGUCAAAUCAGGUGAAGCAGUUUCCCUUCUUUUCAGGAGUAAAAAUUGAACAAGUUAAGCGAUGAAAACAGCUUUGAGGAUUUCUUUAUAACUUUAGAAAGCAUAUCAUGUGCCUGGCUAAAACCUUAUUUAUUCCACUCUUGACUGGUAAAUUGAAUUGAAUUAAAGCCAGAAGUACUUAUUGUCAGGGUUCUCUGUUUGGCCGGUGCUCUAACUCUGCUCCACAGGUGGUUCUAGUUUGCUGGGGGGCGUGGCCCACAUCUGCGGCUCGUUGGGAGCGCUGUUCACUGGUGUCUUAAGGAAGGCACAGACAGAUGGAAGUCGUGGUACGACGUGGCCUCUGACCUGAUCCUGCAAACCUGAACUUGUGAGUUUUUUUGUAACUUUGGAACCUGACAUAUUUGGAUCUCCUGCCUUUCUUGUAGUUUUGUGUUUGGAUUACUCACCCGUCUUGACAUCUCGCUCGACAAACCAGCUUCCAAGAAUCCCCAAAGCUCAGAUGUUGUUCUGGCAUUCCCCCUCGUACUCUCUGGAUGUUACCCAGCUGGGCUCGAGGUUUCACUUCCCUGGAUUCUGCUGGUUCCCUCUGAUCUCUGGUCAAACUGUCUGUCUCCCCUGUCUGUCGUGGCUCGCUCCGGAUCCCUCGCCGUCUUGCCAUCAGUCCGCCCUCCAGCUGCUAACCACCAGCCAUCCUUGUGAACACUCGGCCUCAGAGUUUCCCUCACCUUCCCCUCCCCGGUUAGGUUCACUCAACUAAACGUUCCUCCGGCAUUGACGUUCAGACCUCGACGGAUCUCCACACCCGUGAGAUCCAUGUACCUGAACCCUUUAAUAAACACUUUUAAACUGCACUCUGUCUUCUGUAUUGUGUCUGCAUGUGGGCAAGACAUAUAAAAACCAUGACACUUAUGUGCAUAUGGAUGUGGAUGAAUCAAUGUAUUAUGAUCAUGUUUAGAAUAAAUGCUGUGAUUUUCA
Fundulus heteroclitus (mummichog) is the source of this 1003-nucleotide long non-coding RNA. RefSeq lists it as uncharacterized. NCBI's taxonomy places the organism in Eukaryota, Metazoa, Chordata, Actinopteri, Cyprinodontiformes, Fundulidae. The transcript has 2 exons. The record is from RefSeq and is a predicted model, not a curated record.